UUAUAGAACUCAGUCCAAACUGUAUCAUAUAUUGAAGGAAACAAAAACAUGUGAUAUGACAAAUAAGUAGUAUACAAAGUCUGAGAUAUAACAUGCGGAUGAAGAAUCUGCCCAACUGCUACAUUAUCUUUAUCUCCGUCAACUCUUCCAGCAACAACUGCUAAAUCAUCUACAUCGGCCACAUCUGUCCGAAAAAAGGGUGUUUUUCUCCCAUGGUCCCCAGUUUACGGUAAUUUGGGACAAAACUAUGCUCCACAUUCAAAGAUCCGCAAAGAAGGAGGAGUGUUACUCUUUCGGUCUCCACAGGAUGCAAUCUGCUAUGUCAGCCGGUGGAACUUACUAACUAUCAGAAAUAUUUGUCUUCAGAGGAAGAUUGGGAAAAGAUACAAGCCACUAAGGAGAGUAUUUGUUGAACAAUGUCAUGCACAACUAUAAUAGUACAUUGUUUACUUCCUUUGUUAUUUCAUUUGUUUUUGACUAAAAAUAUCUUGAGUUUGCCCUUUUUAUUUUCUAGGCCAACUUUCUUGCUUCUGUGGGUCUCGAAAAGUUAAUUCGGGAAAAGGAAGAACUUACCUCUGCAUGGGAACAACUUUAAUCCGAGAAGGAGCAUACUAUUGCUCACCUCUCACAUUGGAAGCCAAAGCUACUGAGGCCGUUAUAUUGGAGAUUUGUUUGUAGCAAGAAAAAAAAACAAAUAAGUGGUCACCCUUCCCAAGAGAUUGGCCCGUUGAGGGUUAAAUGUGGCAAAUCUAGGACCAAAUGGGUUGAGGUCCAUAAUAUCGUUCUUGUUUCAACCCAAUGCGAGGCAGCCUCUGAUGAAAGAUUUGUUAAAGCUAGUUAAUGAUUAAAGCUAGCUAAGUUGGUGUGAAUGAGAAAUGG
Molecule: long non-coding RNA, 879 nt
Filed under: Nicotiana benthamiana
Lineage: Eukaryota; Viridiplantae; Streptophyta; Magnoliopsida; Solanales; Solanaceae
Description: long non-coding RNA (NBEN_LNC038558)
Source: RNAcentral